Molecule: ribosomal RNA, 494 nt
Filed under: uncultured bacterium
Lineage: Bacteria
Description: bacterial SSU rRNA
Rfam family: Bacterial small subunit ribosomal RNA
Source: RNAcentral
GAUGAACGCUAGCGGCAGGCUUAAUACAUGCAAGUCGAGGGGCAUCAAGGUACACGAAAGUGUAUUGUUGGCGACCGGCGGACGGGUGAGUAAUAGGUAGGUAACCUACCUCAUACUGAGGCAUAGCUGGGAGAAAUUCCAGGUAAUUCCUCAUGAGGUUAUAUGACACAUGUGAUAUAAUCAAAGGUAUCGCAAGGUACUGGUAUGAGAUGGGCUUACUGACCAUUAGCUAGUUGGUGAGAUAAGAGCUCACCAAGGCGAAGAUGGUUAGGGGUUUUUGAGAGAGAGAUCCCCCACAUUGGAACUGAGAUACGGUCCAGACUCCUACGGGAGGCAGCAGUAGGGAAUAUUGGGCAAUGGGCGGAAGCCUGACCCAGCCAUGCCGCGUGAAGGAAGACGGCCUUAUGGGUUGUAAACUUCUGUCAUGGGGAAGAGUAAGUGACGGUACCCAAGAGGAAGCCCCUGCUAACUACGUGCCAGCAGCCGCGGUAAAG